This is a non-coding RNA of Sesamum indicum (sesame), 1225 nucleotides long. The record is from RefSeq and is a predicted model, not a curated record. Lineage: Eukaryota; Viridiplantae; Streptophyta; Magnoliopsida; Lamiales; Pedaliaceae.
GCAAUUUUAAUUUUUUUGGGAAAAAUUAUAAUUUUGUAUUUUUAAAGGAGUUUAAGUAUAAUUAAUUGAGAUAAAAAAGUGUAAUGCUCCCGUGUAAAGGAAACCGAUCGAAAUAGUGAGAGAUGCACAGACAGACGCACGCCGUUAAUGGAAACUUCACCGCCCACCAUUGAGAAAUCCAUGCACACAAACCCCUCAUCUCCUCUGCGGAAAGAAUGUCGUUUUCUUUUCUUAUUUCUAUCCCUGUUUCAGCCCUAAUUCCUGGAAUAUCUCAGUUUGGAGUUCGAGGAAUUCAGUGGCUGCUAUGCUGUUGCCUGCAUUUUCAUCGGUCAUCUCCGGUGCCAUUGGUCUCCGGUCGGUUUGAUCCAUCUAUAGCAUUGCAUGUAUGUUGGAUUCACCUUAACUUGAUAGAGAGUGAUAUUAAGUCAGCUUAGAACUCGUCUUGGAGAUUUCAUUCAGCGAUGCCGUUUCAUUUUGAGAUGAUUGGGUGCCGGAAAAACUUAUUGUAGCCUUUUCGGUGAGGGCAAAAUUUGGUGAAUGGAGAUGCUCCGAAGAUAAAUGAGGGUACUUGUCAUGGCACCUGUCAUCUUAUUAUUCAUCGAGAAAGCCUUCAAGAGAAGCUUCGAAUAAGACAGAAACAGAGGGCAAAAGGGGAGAAUAAAAAUAUAACUAACUGAUGUGUCGGCAGCCUGUUGAUAAUCUUCACAAGCACUAAAGCAGAUGGCCUUUCCACCCAUUGUAUCCUUAGAUUCUCCUGUUGGAGCCCGGUUAUCAUCCCAUUUUCCGCUGGUGAAUAUUCCCAAGGGAAAAACAAUAAAAUUGAUGGCGGAAGAAUCUUAUAUGUCUUAAGCAUUCAAGGAUGUUUUUCCAUGACCGGACCAUGGGAGAUCCAAAGUCAUUAAGCUACUGCAUGAAUGAGCAGUACCUGCAAGAAUGAGGAUGGACUCAGUUGGGAAUUUGAAUUGACCGACUAACAAAUCUCUCAUGUUAUUCAAGUCAUGUCUACUUCCCUUCAACUCGGACUUUUGAUUCUUGUACUGGACACAACAAAGCAGGGCGCGUUUGUCCCUUCUUGGUUGGUUUGAGAACCCCUUGGCUUCAGUGAUGGCUUUAUCUGGCUUCGUACUUGAACUUUUUUCCAUCAUGAAAUAAACUUUGUCUUGGUCACUAGCUGAUAAUAUUCUUUCGUGUCUGUCACAAUUACUCUUAGGCAUCAAAGAUGAUC